RNAcentral lists this ribosomal RNA (757 nucleotides) under uncultured bacterium. RNAcentral describes it as "bacterial SSU rRNA". It matches the Rfam family "Bacterial small subunit ribosomal RNA", at positions 1 to 735 of the family's 1533-position model. The record is from RNAcentral.
GCGGCCGAUCGCCUUGAGUUGAUCAUGGCUCGAGCGAACGUUAGCGGCGGGCUUAACACAUGCAAGUCGAGCGAGAAAGUGGCUUCGGCCAUCAGUAAAGCGGCGGACGGGUGAGUAACACGUAGGUAAUCUUCCCUUGAGCGGGGGACAACAAGCCGAAAGGCUUGCUAAUACCGCAUAAGUUCCCAGAGUCUUUGGAUUUUGGGAGGAAAGCUAGGUAGCAAUAUCCGGCACUCGAGGAGGAGCCUGCGUAGCAUCAGCUAGUUGGUGGGGUAAUGGCCUACCAAGGCGAAGACGCUUAGCUGGUCUGAGAGGAUGAUCAGCCACACUGAAACUGAGACACGGUUCAGACUCCUACGGGAGGCAGCAGUGGGGAAUAUUGGACAAUGGGCGCAAGCCUGAUCCAGCCACGCCGCGUGAGUGAUGAAGGCCUUCGGGUCGUAAAGCUCUGUGGGGAGGGACGAACCGCCGGCGGUUAAUACCCGACGGCAUGACGGUACCUCCUUAGCAAGCACCGGCUAACUUCGUGCCAGCAGCCGCGGUAAUACGAAGGGUGCAAACGUUGCUCGGAAUUAUUGGGCGUAAAGCGCACGUAGGCGGCUUAGCAAGUCGGAAGUGAAAGCCCUCGGCUCAACCAAGGAAGUGCUUUCGAAACUGCUGAGCUUGAGUACUUAAGAGGAUCGCGGAAUUCCCGGUGUAGAGGUGAAAUUCGUAGAUAUCGGGAGGAACACCAGUGGCGAAGGCGGCGAUCUGGGAA